AAUUACAAGCUUUUCCAUCUUGCACCAGAAUUCACAAGUUUGAUGUAUGCGUUCUUAAAAUCAUCGAAGAACAUGUUCUGAUUGUCAGCAUACUUUUUGAUCCAUCUGCACAGAACACAGGUUUAAGCAAUGAAAGGAAAAGGUAAUCAAAAUUCAAAUCUCUACUACAGUAUAUCAAAGUUAAACAAGUUUAGUUCAAGUUGAGCAUGUAUAAGAUAAGGCAAGAAACUAUUUGAAGAGUUAGCUGUGACCAGUAUAGGAAAUAGAAUCCAUGUCCACGUCUCUUUGGAUGUCUUUAAGACAAGAGAUAUAUGUCCCACAUAAAACCAUAACACAUGCAUUGGAUGACAAACUAAAUGCUCAUUACAUGAUAAGAAUUUCAUAGCAUGUGUUCAUAGCAGUGCUUUUGUAAAAAGACUGCAAAAACUCCGAUGUACUGUCGAAUUGUAGUUCAGUAAAAUACUUUAAUUUUUUAGUCUUGAUUAUGCUUGUGUCUUUCAGCAGGUAUAAAAUGCAUUUUCACAUGCAUGUGUUAUUAUGUCUGAAUUUUCACAACUAUUAUGGCUAUCGUCUGCUAGGUUCCUUGUUAUUGAAUUCCGAACCACUCAUUAUCCCUGGCUAGGCUAUAUGCUUCACUCAUCGAGGGUACAACUCAGAACUGCCUUGCAAAGUAAGGAGACAACGCAGACAAGACUUAAGAGAUAACAUGUUUUGAUUGAGAGAUCUUCGAAAAUGGCA
This 738-nucleotide long non-coding RNA is filed under the name Populus trichocarpa (black cottonwood). RNAcentral's name for it is "long non-coding RNA (PTRI_LNC001880)". Lineage: Eukaryota; Viridiplantae; Streptophyta; Magnoliopsida; Malpighiales; Salicaceae. The record is from RNAcentral.